Molecule: ribosomal RNA, 261 nt
Filed under: uncultured Candidatus Sumerlaeota bacterium
Lineage: Bacteria; Candidatus Sumerlaeota
Description: partial 16S ribosomal RNA
Rfam family: Bacterial small subunit ribosomal RNA
Source: RNAcentral
UCAGUUCGGCUGGGCGACUCUAUGGAGACUGCCACCUAAAGUGGAGGAAGGUGGGGAGUGACGUCAAGUCAGCAUGGCCCUUACUCCGGGGCUACACACGUGCUACAAUGGCCGGUACAAAGGGUUGCGAAGCCGUGAGGUGGAGCGAAUCUCAAAAAGCCGGCCUCAGUUCGGAUUGGAGGCUGCAACUCGCCUCCAUGAAGUCGGAAUCGCUAGUAACCGCAGAUCAGCUACGUUGCGGUGAAUACGUUCCCGGGCCUU